UGGGGAAUAUUGCACAAUGGGCGCAAGCCUGAUGCAGCCAUGCCGCGUGUAUGAAGAAGGCCUUCGGGUUGUAAAGUACUUUCAGCGGGGAGGAAGGGAGUAAAGUUAAUACCUUUGCCCAUUGACGUUACCCGCAGAAGAAGCACCGGCUAACUCCGUGCCAGCAGCCGCGGUAAUACGGAGGGUGCAAGCGUUAAUCGGAAUUACUGGGCGUAAAGCGCACGCAGGCGGUUUGUUAAGUCAGAUGUGAAAUCCUCGGGCUCAACCUGGGAACUGCAUCUGAUACUGGCAAGCUUGAGUCUCGUAGAGGGGGGUAGAAUUCCAGGUGUAGCGGUGAAAUGCGUAGAGAUCUGGAGGAAUACCGGUGGCGAAGGCGGCCCCCUGGACAAAGACUGACGCUCAGGUGCGAAAGCGUGGGGAGCAAACAGG
Molecule: ribosomal RNA, 429 nt
Filed under: Chloroflexota bacterium
Lineage: Bacteria; Bacillati; Chloroflexota
Description: Chloroflexi bacterium partial 16S ribosomal RNA
Rfam family: Bacterial small subunit ribosomal RNA
Source: RNAcentral